AGAUUUCUCAAGAUCAUCAGUUUGGACAGAAUUCAUUUGAAGAAUUAAUAGCACUAGCAGGUUCCAAUAAAGGCUGGAACAGAACAGACAGAAAAGAAUCUGUCAGAAGAAAUUCAACUACUGUUCGUGC
This is a long non-coding RNA of Paramisgurnus dabryanus, 130 nucleotides long. RefSeq lists it as uncharacterized. NCBI's taxonomy places the organism in Eukaryota, Metazoa, Chordata, Actinopteri, Cypriniformes, Cobitidae. The record is from RefSeq and is a predicted model, not a curated record.